AUAUAUGACGCAGUCUGAUCAGCCAUGCCGCGUGUGUGAAGACGGCCCUAUGGGUUGUAAACUGCUUUUAUCUGGGAAGAAUGACGAGGAUUUAUCCUUGGAUAAACGGUACCUAAGGAAUAAGCACCGGCUAACUCCGUGCCACCACCCCCGGUAUUACGGAGGGUGCCAGCGUUAUCCGGAAUCACUGGGUUUAAAGGGUACGUAGGCGGUUAUAUAAUUCAAACGUUAAAGGCUGUGGCUAAACCAUGGUACGCGUUUGAAACUGUAUAACUUGAAUAUUUUCGAGGUGCACGGAAUGCGUCAUGUAGCGGUGAAAUGCAUAGAUAUGACAUAGAACACCGAAUGCGAAGGCAGUGCACUAAGGUAUUAUUGACGCUGAUGUACGAAAGCGUGGGUAGCGAACAGGAUUAGAUACCCUGGUAGUCCACGCCCUAAACGAUGCUAACUGGUCAUUUAUACUUAUUUAGUAUAAGUGACUGAGGGAAACCAUUAAGUUAGCCACCUGGGGAGUACGUUCGCAAGAAUGAAACUCAAAGGAAUUGACG
Molecule: ribosomal RNA, 548 nt
Filed under: uncultured bacterium
Lineage: Bacteria
Description: bacterial SSU rRNA
Rfam family: Bacterial small subunit ribosomal RNA
Source: RNAcentral